Seriola aureovittata is the source of this 881-nucleotide long non-coding RNA. RefSeq lists it as uncharacterized. The record is from RefSeq and is a predicted model, not a curated record. NCBI's taxonomy places the organism in Eukaryota, Metazoa, Chordata, Actinopteri, Carangiformes, Carangidae. The transcript is spliced from 4 exons.
CUUUGUAAACAACUCUUACACGUUGUUUUAAAGCUCAUCUUCUGUAUUUACUCCAAAAUGACUCGACGGUGCUGCAGCCACGAGAGUCCGGACUGUCUAAACAGACAGUCAUCCAGACGUGAACUCAAACACCAGCUUUUAUGAAGACGAGGAAUGAUGUGAUGAAAAAGCAGAAAGAAGCAGCACCAAAACACCCGCCAGCCUGUUAUGGCCCUACAUAAGACCUCAUGCUCGGGUCAGGCUCUUUCUUGGCCUACCUGAGUGACAUGAUAAACAUGGCUGAACUGACCAGCGAAGAUCUGAGCCCACUUUGUGAGCAGUCCAAGCUUUCAAUGAAUGGGAUCCCAUCAGUGAGUGAUGCUCACAGGAGGUGAUCUCAGGGCCUUCCUUCCUUCCUUCCUUCCUUCUGACACAGAGGCCUGGGGGAGUUGCAGGGGAGUCAGGAUGGCCGGAUGUGCCCUGAUCAGACAGACAGACAGAAAGAUAGACUGACAAGGAACAGACAUGCAGACAGGAGGAUGCUCGCUGCUACUGUGGACUUUGGGCUCGGUUUUGUUCCCAUCCGGAGCUACAAUGAGAAUGACAUCAUUCCUGUUUUGAUAGUACAACAGGAAGGUGCAGGGAGAUGGAGAGCUGCGGUGUGUGUGGGUGAGAGUAUGAAGAAGUAUGAGGAAACAAAAGGGAAACAUAUAAGCGUGGAUCAGAGAAGAGGCAGAGCUACGAUCAUAUCAGAGGUGGUAUAUCUGAGUGUCGGUCUGCAGGAGGCUUUGAUGGGCCCCACAGAAUUUUUUAUUUUCAGAAACAUACUGUACAUAAUUUUUCCUCUCUCCCUUCUCCUUCUGAAUCUAAUAAAGCAAUAAAAUCAAUAAAGUGAAUUAAGU